CCUACGGGGGGCAGCAGUGGGGAAUAUUGGACAAUGGGGGGAACCCUGAUCCAGCCAUGCCGCGUGUGUGAAGAAGGCCCUCGGGUUGUAAAGCACUUUCAGUGAGGAAGAACGCCUGGUGGUUAAUACCCAUCAGGAAAGACAUCACUCACAGAAGAAGCACCGGCUAACUCCGUGCCAGCAGCCGCGGUAAUACGGAGGGUGCGAGCGUUAAUCGGAAUUACUGGGCGUAAAGCGCGCGUAGGUGGCUUGAUAAGCCGGUUGUGAAAGCCCCGGGCUCAACCUGGGAACGGCAUCCGGAACUGUCAAGCUAGAGUGCAGGAGAGGAAGGUAGAAUUCCCGGUGUAGCGGUGAAAUACGUAGAGAUCGGGAGGAAUACCAGUGGCGAAGGCGGCCUUCUGGACUGACACUGACACUGAGGUGCGAAAGCGUGGGUAGCAAACAGGAUUAGAUACCCUUGUAGUC
RNAcentral lists this ribosomal RNA (465 nucleotides) under Vreelandella stevensii. RNAcentral's name for it is "partial 16S ribosomal RNA". It matches the Rfam family "Bacterial small subunit ribosomal RNA", at positions 338 to 795 of the family's 1533-position model. Lineage: Bacteria; Pseudomonadati; Pseudomonadota; Gammaproteobacteria; Oceanospirillales; Halomonadaceae. The record is from RNAcentral.